RNAcentral lists this ribosomal RNA (716 nucleotides) under uncultured bacterium. Its description in RNAcentral is "bacterial SSU rRNA". It matches the Rfam family "Bacterial small subunit ribosomal RNA", at positions 15 to 775 of the family's 1533-position model. The record is from RNAcentral.
GAUCCUGGCUCAGAGCGAACGCUGGCGGCAGGCCUAACACAUGCAAGUCGAACGAACUCUUCGGAGUUAGUGGCGGACGGGUGAGUAACACGUGGGAGCGUGCCUUUAGGUUCGGAAUAACUCAGGGAAACUUGUGCUAAUACCGAAUGUGCCCUUCGGGGGAAAGAUUUAUCGCCUUUAGAGCGGCCCGCGUCUGAUUAGCUAGUUGGUGAGGUAAAGGCUCACCAAGGCGACGAUCAGUAGCUGGUCUGAGAGGAUGAUCAGCCACAUUGGGACUGAGACACGGCCCAAACUCCUACGGGAGGCAGCAGUGGGGAAUCUUGCGCAAUGGGCGAAAGCCUGACGCAGCCAUGCCGCGUGAAUGAUGAAGGUCUUAGGAUUGUAAAAUUCUUUCACCGGGGACGAUAAUGACGGUACCCGGAGAAGAAGCCCCGGCUAACUUCGUGCCAGCAGCCGCGGUAAUACGAAGGGGGCUAGCGUUGCUCGGAAUUACUGGGCGUAAAGGGAGCGUAGGCGGACAUUUAAGUCAGGGGUGAAAUCCCGGGGCUCAACCUCGGAAUUGCCUUUGAUACUGGGUGUCUUGAGUAUGAGAGAAGUGGUGUGGAACUCCGAUGGUAGAGGUGAAAUUCGUAGAUAUUUCGGAAGAACACCAGUGGCGAAGGCGACACACUGGCUCAUUACCGACGCUGAGGCUCGAAAGCGUGGGGAGCGAACAG